UACGGAGGAUCCAAGCGUUAUCCGGAUUUAUUGGGUUUAAAGGGUGCGUAGGCGGGCCCUUAAGUCAGUGGUGAGAGUUUGCAGCUUAACUGUAAAAUUGCCAUUGAAACUGAGGGUCUUGAGUGUAAAUAAGGUAGGCGGAAUGUGUUGUGUAGCGGUGAAAUGCUUAGAUAUAACACAGAACACCAAUUGCGAAGGCAGCUUACUGGGAUACAACUGACGCUGAGGCACGAAAGUGUGGGGAUCAAACAGGAUUAGAUACCCUGGUAGUCCACGCAGUAAACGAUGAAUACUAGCUGUAUGCGAUAUAUUGUAUGUGGCACAGCGAAAGCGUUAAGUAUUCCACCUGGGGAGUACGUUCGCAAGAAUGAA
RNAcentral lists this ribosomal RNA (372 nucleotides) under uncultured bacterium. Its description in RNAcentral is "bacterial SSU rRNA". It matches the Rfam family "Bacterial small subunit ribosomal RNA", at positions 524 to 898 of the family's 1533-position model. The record is from RNAcentral.